UAAUUUUAAUAUAGAGAUUAUAUCUGGUAUAACUCCAACUUUAAUCUAAAGUAGAACAAAUAUCAAAUUCUUGACAACAUGUUUUUCAUUCAUUGAGUACUUACUGAAAAUGAUUCAUUAGAAGCUCCACUUAUACUCUCGUCUCCCAAAGGAAAGGCUGCCUAUUGCAAUUUAGUAUAAAUGAUCAAGCAAUAUAAUAAGUACAUCCAAAAUUUGAGCACCCCUAUAAUAAAAAGAGGCAGAACUGAAACCCAAUCAUAGAUUAUAGAAGAAAAUAAAUAGCUACCAAUCUUAUUAAACAACAUCUAUGAAUCUUAACAAAAAUUUGUAACGUUUAUACAAUCAUUCGAUAAGAGCAGCAAUGUACGAUUGACGGUGAAAUUAGAAUUCUACCCAUCAUGAAAAUCAUCACAAUAGACAUAGAUUUGAGAUACCAAACCGGCAAUAAAUCCAAAACAUUUUGAGCAUCCAUAAAUUAUACUAAGUGGGCAGUAACAUACAGACCCAUCACUAGAUCUGUCAUCAUCCUAUCCAUUCCGUAGUUUCAUAUCAAAUUCUAUGUGCUCACUAAAAUCAAAAAAUUAAAAUUAACAUUAAACCUAAAAUUCAAGAGGAGAAGUUUCCAAGAAUCUUGACAGAAAUCCAAAUUCUCUGUUCAAUAGUACAAUUUUACCAAAUUUGAAAAGAAAAUCCAAACAAAAUAUACAGUAUUAAACAUCAAGUUUCAGCAACAAAAGUUUCUUAGCACACUCUAAAAAUCUAAAUUAAUACAACCAUAAAUAAGGAAGAAUGUUGACAAAUAAACUAGAAAGUAAAAAUACCAAAAAGAAAAUCUUCAAUUUGCGAACCUCAGAGGAAAUGAGGGAAAUACCUAAGUUCUAGGCGCACUUAAGAUACGUAAGUUCCUCUCCGAAGACAAAUAGACUGCUUCCAUAUUUUAUUCCAUCUCUCAACUCACAAUCGUCGUCAACAAUCACGAUUUGAGCUAUAUUGAGAGAAGGUGGCCUCUGAAUGGCACUCACGACAACCAAUGAGAAUUUUAGGCGAAGGAGGUGAAGGGAUUUGGGAAAAUGGCUGCCAUCACAGUUCUAGGACUUUGGCAGAAAGAGAAGAACGAUUUGAGUAAAUGAGAGAUAUAAAGAAAUGCAACUUCUCUAAUUUUAC
RNAcentral lists this long non-coding RNA (1164 nucleotides) under Nicotiana benthamiana. RNAcentral's name for it is "long non-coding RNA (NBEN_LNC017524)". Lineage: Eukaryota; Viridiplantae; Streptophyta; Magnoliopsida; Solanales; Solanaceae. The record is from RNAcentral.